This 72-nucleotide transfer RNA is filed under the name Ovis aries (sheep). It matches the Rfam family "tRNA". Rfam says of the family: Transfer RNA (tRNA) molecules are approximately 80 nucleotides in length. Their secondary structure includes four short double-helical elements and three loops (D, anti-codon, and T loops). The record is from Rfam by way of RNAcentral. Lineage: Eukaryota; Metazoa; Chordata; Mammalia; Artiodactyla; Bovidae.
UUCCUGUUGGCUCAGACAGUAAAGUGUCUGCCUACAAUGCGGAAGACCCAGGUUCAAUUCCUGGCUUGGGAA